GGCUACGGAGGUGGUUGAUAGGCUUAGGCUUCGGCGGGUUUUGGCUUUGCUUCUGCUGCUUCUGGCCGUGGCUGUUGGACGAGGAGUCCUCGGAGGAAUCUAGGGGCAUGGGGACGCCACGUGGCGGCGUCGGAUUGGGCGAGGGGAGGUCGAGGGCGGAGAGGUCGAGGUCGGAGGGGUCGAAGAGUAAGAAGUCAUCGAAGCGGAAGGAGGUGUCGGAGUGGGCCCUACGGUGGUGGAUCCCACGGUGCUGAGGCGUCUCCGGCAUGUCGUCUAUGUCUACGGCCAUCGGUUGUUUGCCGGUCGUUUUGCUAGGAUUCAUUCUUAAUUGUCGUUUUGGUCGAUCAAAACGGUGGCGUUG
RNAcentral lists this long non-coding RNA (361 nucleotides) under Citrus sinensis (sweet orange). Its description in RNAcentral is "long non-coding RNA (CSIN_LNC001479)". Lineage: Eukaryota; Viridiplantae; Streptophyta; Magnoliopsida; Sapindales; Rutaceae. The record is from RNAcentral.